Molecule: unclassified non-coding RNA, 332 nt
Organism: Erinaceus europaeus (western European hedgehog)
Lineage: Eukaryota; Metazoa; Chordata; Mammalia; Eulipotyphla; Erinaceidae
Gene: 7SK
Rfam family: 7SK RNA
About the family: 7SK was discovered as an abundant small nuclear RNA in the mid-70s but a possible function has only recently been suggested. Two independent studies have found that 7SK RNA binds the CDK9/cyclin T complex (known as elongation factor P-TEFb).
Source: Ensembl
UGACGUGAGGGUUAUCUGGCUGUGACAUCUGUCACCCCAUUGACUUCCAGGGUUGAUUCAGCUGGUUUGGUUGGCCAGGUAGGUGUCCCCUUCCUUCCUCGAGGCUCUAUCUGCAGCCCUUCUGAAGCUGCGCGCUUCAUCCAAGAGGAUGGCCUUCCCCUAAUAGAGACGGACCAGUCUGAGGUCAAGGGUAUAUGAGUAGCUGCUUUCCCCUGCUAGAACCUCCAAAUAAGCUCUCAAGGUCCAUUUGUAGGAGAUCGUAGGGUAGUCAAGCUUCCAAGACUCCAGACACAUCCAAAUGAGGUGCUGCAUGUUGCAGUCUGCCUUUCUUA